GAUGAACGCUGGCGGCGUGCCUAAUACAUGCAAGUCGAGCGAACAGACGAGGAGCUUGCUCCUCUGACGUUAGCGGCGGACGGGUGAGUAACACGUGGAUAACCUACCUAUAAGACUGGGAUAACUUCGGGAAACCGGAGCUAAUACCGGAUAAUAUAUUGAACCGCAUGGUUCAAUAGUGAAAGACGGUUUUGCUGUCACGUAUAGAUGGAUCCGCGCCGCAUUAGCUAGUUGGUAAGGUAACGGCUUACCAAGGCAACGAUGCGUAGCCGACCUGAGAGGGUGAUCGGCCACACUGGACCUGAGACACGGUCCAGACUCCUACGGGAGGCAGCAGUAGGGAAUCUUCCGCAAUGGGCGAAAGCCUGACGGAGCAACGCCGCGUGAGUGAUGAAGGUCUUCGGAUCGUAAAACUCUGUUAUUAGGGAAGAACAAAUGUGUAAGUAACUAUGCACGUCUUGACGGUACCUAAUCAGAAAGCCACGGCUAACUACGUG
Molecule: ribosomal RNA, 497 nt
Filed under: uncultured bacterium
Lineage: Bacteria
Description: partial 16S ribosomal RNA
Rfam family: Bacterial small subunit ribosomal RNA
Source: RNAcentral